ACGGAGGAUCCAAGCGUUAUCCGGAAUCAUUGGGUUUAAAGGGUCCGUAGGCGGGUCUGUAAGUCAGUGGUGAAAGUUUACGGCUCAACCGUGAAAUUGCCAUUGAUACUGCAGGUCUUGAAUUAUUGUGAAGUGGUUAGAAUAUGUAGUGUAGCGGUGAAAUGCAUAGAUAUUACAUAGAAUACCGAUUGCGAAGGCAGAUCACUAACAAUAUAUUGACGCUAAGGGACGAAAGCGUGGGUAGCGAACAGG
This 252-nucleotide ribosomal RNA is filed under the name uncultured bacterium. RNAcentral's name for it is "partial 16S ribosomal RNA". It matches the Rfam family "Bacterial small subunit ribosomal RNA", at positions 525 to 776 of the family's 1533-position model. The record is from RNAcentral.